CUGAGUGAGGUUACCCAGUGGCUGAAGUGUCCCGUCAGAAUCGAAAAAUGGUUCUCAUCGCUCCUCAUGCAGUUUUGAACUUGCGUCCCGUUCCUGAGGCUCAACACCUAGAAUGCAGUCCUCAUGACCAGUAGCCGUCAUCUUCCUGGUGAGCUGGAAAGCUGAAGGCAAAGGGCGUGUAGCCAUUGAUGCCGCUAUUCACACUGGCCUGGGUCCUGCUGAGGAGCACUUUGCUGAUGUUCUGGCUCCAGGAAGAGAUGAACAGUUAACCCGGGUUUACUUGCUGCCACAAAAGCAUCUUUCAUCCUACAAGACUCCAGAUUGAAGGGAAGAUUUCACUACAUACCGGCCAGAGACAAGAAGCUCUGUUGAAGUUACUGGCCACCCCCACUCCUACCCACUUCUGAGGAUUCCACUGUAACCCAGAAAUCUAGGGGGACAGGCACACAGAGUGUAACAGCGUGAAUGCUACUAUGUUUAACGAUGGAGAAGUGGGACAUUCUGAUUUGACUGGGGUUGGCCCUGAAAGAUCAGGCUGUCACCUGCACUGAGGGGUGCUUUACAAGGCUGAAUGACUAGAAACUCUCAAGGAGAGGGGCAGCAUUUUGGAAAAGGCGGCUGCAGUCUGAUUAGCAUGAAGAGAAAGGGGAUAGUUGUCUUAACUGAGCCCACCUAAGCAUUAGGCACUUGACAACUGUGAGGAGAAAGGAACACUCAGUGACAGUCACAUAAGGCAGCAGUGGAGCACCUUCCCCUCCCCCUCUGCCUCCUGCAGCCCUCCUGGAUUGGGUCGUGCCUACCCAGAGCACACUCUGGAGUAUAUGGACGUAGAAGGGUGCUUCUUGCCAUUCAACGUCUCUUAAGGCAGCUACAGUAAUGACAAACCUCAAAACUUGGUGUUUUCACCUCUAACCAAAGUCGAAAUAGCUGGUGUCCACAAUCCAGUGUCACUCCAAAUGAAACCAAAUCCAGAGGGAGUGACUGGGGGAGAGCACAGUAUCUGGAAUGGCCUUUUGCUCUUUUAUUGACUUUGACAUUUUUAUUAUAUUACCUUUCCCCCAAAUUCUUUUUACAGUACAAAAAAGUAUACACGUGAUUAAAGAACAACAU
Molecule: long non-coding RNA, 1110 nt
Organism: Cynocephalus volans (Philippine flying lemur)
Lineage: Eukaryota; Metazoa; Chordata; Mammalia; Dermoptera; Cynocephalidae
Exons: 3
Source: RefSeq, a predicted model, not a curated record